GGAAUUUUGCGCAAUGGGCGGAAGCCUGACGCAGCAACGCCGCGUGGAGGAAGAAGGCCCUCGGGUCGUAAACUCCUGUCCAUGGGGAAGAGGAUGACGGUACCCUUGGAGGAAGCCCCGGCUAACUCCGUGCCAGCAGCCGCGGUAAUACGGAGGGGGUUAGCGUUGUUCGGAAUUACUGGGCGUAAAGCGCACGUAGGCGGAUCAGAAAGUUGGGGGUGAAAUCCCGGGGCUCAACCCCGGAACGGCCUCCAAAACUCCUGGUCUUGAGUUCGAGAGAGGUGAGUGGAAUUCCGGGUGUAGAGGUGAAAUUCGUAGAUAUUCGGAGGAACACCAGUGGCGAAGGCGGCUCACUCGCUCGAUACUGACGCUGAGGUGCGAAAGUGUGGGGAGCAAAC
RNAcentral lists this ribosomal RNA (398 nucleotides) under uncultured bacterium. RNAcentral describes it as "bacterial SSU rRNA". It matches the Rfam family "Bacterial small subunit ribosomal RNA", at positions 358 to 773 of the family's 1533-position model. The record is from RNAcentral.